CUGAAAGGUAGAGGACUUACUCUUCGGAGUGAGAGCGUACACAGGUGCUGCAUGGCUGUCGUCAGCUCGUGUCGUGAGAUGUUGGGUUAAGUCCCGCAACGAGCGCAACCCUGCAUUCAGUUGCCAUCGGUAAGGCCGGGCACUCUGGAUGGACUGCCGGCGACAAGCCGGAGGAAGGUGGGGACGACGUCAAGUCAUCAUGGCCCUUAUGUCCAGGGCGACACACGUGCUACAAUGGCCGGCACAACGGGAAGCGAAGGGGCGACCCUGAGCGGAUCCCACAAAAGCCGGUCCCAGUUCGGAUUGCAGUCUGCAACUCGACUGCAUGAAGUUGGAAUCGCUAGUAAUCGUGGAUCAGCCAAGCCGCGGUGAAUACGUUCCCGGGCCUU
RNAcentral lists this ribosomal RNA (389 nucleotides) under uncultured Thermovirga sp. RNAcentral describes it as "bacterial SSU rRNA". It matches the Rfam family "Bacterial small subunit ribosomal RNA", at positions 1001 to 1382 of the family's 1533-position model. Lineage: Bacteria; Thermotogati; Synergistota; Synergistia; Synergistales; Thermovirgaceae. The record is from RNAcentral.